This 475-nucleotide ribosomal RNA is filed under the name uncultured bacterium. RNAcentral describes it as "bacterial SSU rRNA". It matches the Rfam family "Bacterial small subunit ribosomal RNA", at positions 355 to 796 of the family's 1533-position model. The record is from RNAcentral.
UGAGGAAUAUUCCACAAUGGGCGAAAGCCUGAUGGAGCGACGCCGCGUGAGGGAAGACGCCUUUCGGGGUGUAAACCUCUUUUAUUGGGGAUGACACACUCUUUUCCCUUCUCUUCUUCGCAAGAGGAAGGGGAGCAAGAGGGAGUUAGGACAGUACCCGAUGAAUAAGCCUCGGCUAACUACGUGCCAGCAGCCGCGGUAAUACGUAGGAGGCGAGCGUUGUCCGGAUUUACUGGGCGUAAAGGGCGCGCAGGCGGCACACUAAGUAUUUUGUGAAAGAACCCUGCUCAACGGGGAAAACGCGAAGUAAACUGGUGAGCUAGAGGACGGUAGAGGGUGGUAGAACUGCUGGUGUAGCGGUGAAAUGCGUAGAGAUCAGCAAGAAUACCCGUGGCGAAGGCGGCCAUCUGGGCCGAACCUGACGCUGAGGCGCGAAGGCUAGGGGAGCGAACGGGAUUAGAUACCCCCGUAGUCC